RNAcentral lists this ribosomal RNA (658 nucleotides) under uncultured bacterium. Its description in RNAcentral is "bacterial SSU rRNA". It matches the Rfam family "Bacterial small subunit ribosomal RNA", at positions 100 to 754 of the family's 1533-position model. The record is from RNAcentral.
GAACGGGUGAGUAAUAUAUCGGAACGUGCCCAGUCGUGGGGGAUAACGUAGCGAAAGUUACGCUAAUACCGCAUACGAUCUAUGGAUGAAAGCGGGGGAUCGCAAGACCUCGCGCGAUUGGAGCGGCCGAUAUCAGAUUAGGUAGUUGGUGAGGUAAAGGCUCACCAAGCCGACGAUCUGUAGCUGGUCUGAGAGGACGACCAGCCACACUGGGACUGAGACACGGCCCAGACUCCUACGGGAGGCAGCAGUGGGGAAUUUUGGACAAUGGGCGAAAGCCUGAUCCAGCAAUGCCGCGUGCAGGAUGAAGGCCUUCGGGUUGUAAACUGCUUUUGUACGGAACGAAACGGCGAGCUCUAAUACAGUUUGCUAAUGACGGUACCGUAAGAAUAAGCACCGGCUAACUACGUGCCAGCAGCCGCGGUAAUACGUAGGGUGCAAGCGUUAAUCGGAAUUACUGGGCGUAAAGCGUGCGCAGGCGGUUCUAUAAGACAGGCGUGAAAUCCCCGGGCUCAACCUGGGAAUUGCGUUUGUGACUGUAGGGCUAGAGUACGGCAGAGGGGGAUGGAAUUCCGCGUGUAGCAGUGAAAUGCGUAGAUAUGCGGAGGAACACCGAUGGCGAAGGCAAUCCCCUGGGCCUGUACUGACGCUCAUGCAC